AGAGUUUGAUCCUGGCUCAGGACGAACGCUGGCGGCGUGCUUAACACAUGCAAGUCGAACGGAAAGGCCCUUCGGGGUACUCGAGUGGCGAACGGGUGAGUAACACGUGGGUGAUCUGCCCUGCACUUUGGGAUAAGCCUGGGAAACUGGGUCUAAUACCGAAUACACCUUGCUGGAUGCAUGUCUGGUGGGGGAAAGCUUUUGCGGUGUGGGAUGGGCCCGCGGCCUAUCAGCUUGUUGGUGGGGUGAUGGCCUACCAAGGCGACGACGGGUAGCCGGCCUGAGAGGGUGUCCGGCCACACUGGGACUGAGAUACGGCCCAGACUCCUACGGGAGGCAGCAGUGGGGAAUAUUGCACAAUGGGCGCAAGCCUGAUGCAGCGACGCCGCGUGGGGGAUGACGGCCUUCGGGUUGUAAACCCCUUUCAGUAGGGACGAAGCGCAAGUGACGGUACCUACAGAAGAAGGACCGGCCAACUACGUGCCAGCAGCCGCGGUAAUACGUAGGGUCCGAGCGUUGUCCGGAAUUACUGGGCGUAAAGAGCUCGUAGGUGGUUUGUCGCGUUGUUCGUGAAAACUCACAGCUUAACUGUGGGCGUGCGGGCGAUACGGGCAGACUGGAGUACUGCAGGGGAGACUGGAAUUCCUGGUGUAGCGGUGGAAUGCGCAGAUAUCAGGAGGAACACCGGUGGCGAAGGCGGGUCUCUGGGCAGUAACUGACGCUGAGGAGCGAAAGCGUGGGGAGCGAACAGGAUUAGAUACCCUAGUAGUCC
This 772-nucleotide ribosomal RNA is filed under the name uncultured bacterium. RNAcentral's name for it is "bacterial SSU rRNA". It matches the Rfam family "Bacterial small subunit ribosomal RNA", at positions 8 to 796 of the family's 1533-position model. The record is from RNAcentral.